This is a long non-coding RNA of Haliotis rufescens (red abalone), 6216 nucleotides long. RefSeq lists it as uncharacterized. NCBI's taxonomy places the organism in Eukaryota, Metazoa, Mollusca, Gastropoda, Lepetellida, Haliotidae. The transcript has 2 exons. The record is from RefSeq and is a predicted model, not a curated record.
UACAGUUAAAAACAAUUGGCGCGUAUUUUUGCGGCGUGAGAGCGACUGCAGAAAAGUUUAGGCUGUUGCCUCGUGAAGUGACGUCAGAAUGACGUCACAUUGUCGCGGAAGAUUUGUUGUCACCAGCCAUCUUAGCUCAAACUCACUCUGGACAUAAUAUAUUACAAGCAAGUGAUUGUGCAGCAACUGGAACUGGACAGAUGAUCUGUGAAUUCGAUUGAGGUAAGUUAAUUUUUCAAAAAUAGUCUCCUCUUGUUGAUAUGUUUCUGUGCAUGCAGUGCGUCAAAUGAUCUAAAUGUAUCGUAUUAUUCAGAAGUGGCAGGGUUAAGAAUGCAGUUUGCCGGUCAUUUUCACUGAGCGUCAGUGUUGAUAUUAAUAUGAUACACAGAACUUGAUGACAGAGGUGAAGGGGGCCCAAGACUUUUUUCCAUAUUAUUAUUUUAUGGAUACCAAGGGUAAUUGCCAAGGGCAAGCGGUAUAUUUUUGACCAGAAUUCAAUCUGGUGGCGUUUUGUGGCCGUCAUAUUAUGUUCGGGUUUCGUUCGUAAGCGUGUAGAUUUGUAAAUAGGCCUAACUUAUGCAUCGCCUACUGACCGCACUGACAGUUAUCGCCAUUUCUUCUGUGUUAUUUCUGAAAUCAUUACUAUUUAAAGUUUACAUGUACUAAUCUUCUGACUUUGAUUUUUGUGCAACAAUGUGGCUCAUCCAGGCCAUGGGAAAGGUUAAGUAGAUUUCUCUUAUACAGCGAAAAGAGGGAAUCAAAACAAUGGAAGUAUUCAGAUCGACUCUCUGUAGGCUGCUAGUUAUAGCCCUAGUCUAAAGUGAUCAAUGAUGUUAUGAAAAAAAUCGUAUUUUCGGGAAGAGACAGAAACAUACUUGAUGUUUCCGAAAAGGCCUAAUUAGCACUGACUGAAGUAGCCUAAAUGUGGAUCAUCAGGUUGUUGCUGCUGUCUAUAAAGUUUAUCAUAGCAAGGUGCUUAUCAUGUGUAUUUUUAUUAUUUCCGAAAAAAGAAUCAAUUCAUCAUUUUCCGAUAACUAGAUCUAUGUCCGACUCCUUUCUAAUGAAAACGAGCAAAAGUAAAACGAGUCUCUCGUCGCGUGCUAUAACGGGGUGUUUGCGGUAUUGUCCUCUCUGGUGAUGAUAAGCUAGUCGAUAGUCAAAAGUUAAAUAUCACCAUAUAUUGUCAGUGAGUUGGUCAUCGUUUGUUGAUUAUUAAAGUGAGAUAGGUGUAGCCAAUGUGCACCAAUGAAAAAUACAAUGGAAUUGAUAGCAACCAUAUUCUUUCGGUUUUCGAUCUGCAUAUGUUGCCACGUAGGCUACCAUACUACAGAAUUAUAUUUAACGAUAUUUAACUGUAUUAGAUCUAUGUUAAUAAACGUAGUGACAAAUAAAUUUCAAUAAAUAUUUAGAGCUGUUUCAACUUCGUCUGGUAUUGUAUAAGCUAUUGCAUUUUGUUUAUUUCCCCAUGUUUCUAAUCUUUGUAAAUGUUAGAACAUAUAUAACUAUCCUGGCAUAUUAAUAUGGAAAAUAUUAAGGUAGAUCUAAGUAUUAAAAAAAAUCACAGUUUUAAUUAGGAUAAAUACCCCAAAGUGUUAACACUUUUAUCACUUAUUGGUGGGCCAAUUCAUAAUUCAUAUUCAACAUUCUUGCUUCAAAUAUGGGAACUAUUUAUUUUAUUUGGCAAUAUAUAUUUUUCAUUUAUGUACAUAUUUUUCAAAUAAGGUUUUAGAAACUUGGCCAUGAUAUUCACUUGAAUCACUAGUUUGAGUGUACAGCAGAAAGGUAAAGUUACUGCUUUUGAAAAACUACAGUUGAUCUGUUGACUGAUAAAACUAUUUGCCAAUAUUACUAUCAGUUACAUCAUACUCUAUUAGUCUAAGUAAAUGGGAUUUAUCUAUACAGUACUGGUUUAUUUAAGAAUGUGAUACUUUGUUGUUUCUGUUUUUCUUUCAGGUGGAGAAAACAGUAUUGUGGGAGCGUAUUUGUUUAAAGUACAUAUCACUGACAGAAAGUUACCAAGGCAUAAGGAGAGACUGAGGAUACAGUUGAAGAUCAUCCCUGUGACUUUUCAUUUGAGGACUGAAAAGGCUCCCUAGCAACUCAGCCCAUGUUCUGACUUGUCAUUUAACAAAUAAAUAAAGGUCACCUCAACCAGAAUUCUAUUGUCAUUUCGUUUACCUAAUGGAUCUUAGGACAUCAGAUGCAUAGACUAUUCUGUUUGUCACAGUGUUGCUCUCAAUGCUGAAUGUAUGAGGUAAGGCCAAGAAAAUUUAAAUGUUUCAAUUUGUGCAGGGCUUAUUGUUUGAUGGUUUUUAAUUUGCAAAUUCGUGGGAAAAUCCAAUAUCUUUUAAUUGUGUUGAAACAUUUGUGAACAAUUUGCACAUAGCCUUGAAAAUUGUUUUGGAAAAUGAAUAUUAUAUUACCAAAUUGAAAUGUAAUUUAAAACAUUUAGAUUUAUAUCUUGGCCGUAUUUCAAACUCUGCCAAAAGAGAGUGCAUUUCAUUGACUUGCUGUUUCAUGGAUAGGGUUAAAGUGAAUUCAGUUUGCAGAAUGUAUUUCUUGGUACCUGACGUCUUAACUAGAUUGGUACAAACUUUUCAGGCUGCCUGGGAGGUAUUGAGGAAUAAAACAGGCGUUAAUCUACAUGGACAUUGCAACAACGUGCUGCAAUGCCUGUAGUGUCGCCAUAUGUAAACAGUAUGCGAUACCUACGUUGUCGCAACGUAAAAAAUGGACGUUGUGACAACGUCUUGAUUUGGUUGUAUUUUGGUUUACGCACAACGUUGUAGCAACCAAUCUGGGAGUCUACAGAAUUACUUUGUGACAACGUAACAUCACAACGUUGUAGCAACGAAAAGUAAACGUUGUCACAACGUUGUAACAACGUAGAAUUGUUGGCUGGGUACGUUGUCGCGACGUUUUGGUUAAACGUUGUAGCAACGUAAAAAAUGGACGUUGUGACAACGUCUUGAUUUGGUUGUAUUUUGGUUUACGCACAACGUUGUAGCAACCAAUCUGGGAGUCUACAGAAUUACGUUGUGACAACGUAACAUCACAACGUUGUAGCAACGAAAAGUCAACGUUGUCACAACGUUGUCACAACGUAGAAUUGUUUGCUGGGUGGCUGCUUGAUGUGUCACCUACCACAGGGCUACCUUGUAGCUGGCUGCUUGAUGUGUCACCUACCACAGGGCUACCUUGUAGCUGGCUGCUUGAUGUGUCACCUACCACAGGGCUACCUUGUAGCUGGCUGCUUGAUGUAAGUGUCACCUACCACAGGGCUACCUUAUAGCUGGCUGCUUGAUGUGUCACCUACCACAGGGCUACCUUGUAGCUGGCUGCUUGAUGUGUCACCUACCACAGGGCUACCUUGUAGCUGGCUGCUUGAUGUGUCACCUACCACAGGGCUACCUUGUAGCUGGCUGCUUGAUGUAAGUGUCACCUACCACAGGGCUACCUUGUAGCUGGCUGCUUGAUGUGUCACCUACCACAGGGCUUCCUUGUAGCUGGCUGCUUGAUGUGUCACCUACCACAGGGCUACCUUGUAGCUGGCUGCUUGAUGUGUCACCUACCACAGGGCUACCUUGUAGCUGGCUGCUUGAUGUGUCACCUACCACAGGGCUACCUUAUAGCUGGCUGCUUGAUGUGUCACCUACCACAGGGCUACCUUGUAGCUGGCUGCUUGAUGUAAGUUUCACCUACCACAGGGCUACCUUGUAGCUGGCUGCUUGAUGUGUCACCUACCACAGGGCUACCUUGUAGCUGGCUGCUUGAUGUGUCACCUACCACAGGGCUACCUUGUAGCUGGCUGCUUGAUGUAAGUGUCACCUACCACAGGGCUACCUUGUAGCUGGCUGCUUGAUGUGUCACCUACCACAGGGCUACCUUGUAGCUGGCUGCUUGAUGUAAGUUUCACCUACCACAGGGCUACCUUGUAGCUGGCUGCUUGAUGUGUCACCUACCACAGGGCUACCUUGUAGCUGGCUGCUUGAUGUGUCACCUACCACAGGGCUACCUUAUAGCUGGCUGCUUGAUGUGUCACCUACCACAGGGCUACCUUGUAGCUGGCUGCUUGAUGUAAGUGUCACCUACCACAGGGCUACCUUGUAGCUGGCUGCUUGAUGUGUCACCUACCACAGGGCUACCUUGUAGCUGGCUGCUUGAUGUGUCACCUACCACAGGGCUACCUUAUAGCUGGCUGCUUGAUGUAAGUUUCACCUACCACAGGGCUACCUUGUAGCUGGCUGCUUGAUGUGUCACCUACCACAGGGCUACCUUGUAGCUGGCUGCUUGAUGUGUCACCUACCACAGGGCUACCUUGUAGCUGGCUGCUUGAUGUGUCACCUACCACAGGGCUACCUUGUAGCUGGCUGCUUGAUGUGUCACCUACCACAGGGCUACCUUGUAGCUGGCUGCUUGAUGUAAGUUUCACCUACCACAGGGCUACCUUGUAGCUGGCUGCUUGAUGUGUCACCUACCACAGGGCUACCUUGUAGCUGGCUGCUUGAUGUAAGUUUCACCUACCACAGGGCUACCUUGUAGCUGGCUGCUUGAUGUGUCACCUACCACAGGGCUACCUUGUAGCUGGCUGCUUGAUGUGUCACCUACCACAGGGCUACCUUAUAGCUGGCUGCUUGAUGUGUCACCUACCACAGGGCUACCUUGUAGCUGGCUGCUUGAUGUAAGUUUCACCUACCACAGGGCUACCUUGUAGCUGGCUGCUUGAUGUGUCACCUACCACAGGGCUUCCUUGUAGCUGGCUGCUUGAUGUAAGUGUCACCUACCACAGGGCUACCUUGUAGCUGGCUGCUUGAUGUGUCACCUACCACAGGGCUACCUUGUAGCUGGCUGCUUGAUGUGUCACCUACCACAGGGCUACCUUGUAGCUGGCUGCUUGAUGUAAGUGUCACCUACCACAGGGCUACCUUGUAGCUGGCUGCUUGAUGUAAGUGUCACCUACCACAGGGCUACCUUGUAGCUGGCUGCUUGAUGUGUCACCUACCACAGGGCUUCCUUGUAGCUGGCUGCUUGAUGUAAGUUUCACCUACCACAGGGCUACCUUGUAGCUGGCUGCUUGAUGUGUCACCUACCACAGGGCUACCUUGUAGCUGGCUGCUUGAUGUGUCACCUACCACAGGGCUACCUUGUAGCUGGCUGCUUGAUGUGUCACCUACCACAGGGCUACCUUGUAGCUGGCUGCUUGAUGUGUCACCUACCACAGGGCUACCUUAUAGCUGGCUGCUUGAUGUGUCACCUACCACAGGGCUACCUUAUAGCUGGCUGCUUGAUGUGUCACCUACCACAGGGCUACCUUAUAGCUGGCUGCUUGAUGUGUCACCUACCACAGGGCUACCUUGUAGCUGGCUGCUUGAUGUAAGUGUCGCCACCAGUGUUUGUCCCUGCUGAUGACUGAACACUGAAAUCGCUGUACAAUAUUGUGUUGGUUUACUGCUGAGCUAUGUAAUCAUGUGAUACUGAUAUAUAAUUUGAGGGAGGUUUUUAUUGUAAAUAAAUGAAAAACUAUCAAUGUAGAUUUGAUUCUGUGUUUACUCAGAUUCAUUGUACAAUUGCCGUUCAUGAUAACAUGAGAAAAGCCAUUGCUUCUAAAUGAUGUCAUAUCUUUUGUUAUACAUACAGAAAUGUAUUUGUGUGUACAUAUAUAUGCACUUAUGCAUACCUUGGUAUGAAUGUUUUCAAAGUAUUUAUUUCACAGUGUGAAUAUGAGUUUUAGGCUUCCAGAUUAUUCAGGUAGUGACAGAAGUAUAUUCCCCUUACACUAUAUUAUAAUAAUUAGCAUUUCUAGUGGUACAUAAUGUAUGGCAACCAGCGUAUUGGUCAGGCUUGGUUGAUGAAUGUCAUGUCAUGUGGAUUGUCUCCUCCAGACUCGAUUAUUUACUGACCGGCACCAUGGAAUAUUGCGGAGUGUGCAUGUAAUAUUAAACAACAAAUAAACAUAAUACACUUUAACUAAAACACAACUCAUAGACCUUGCUUUUCAAUCAUUUCAGGUUUCACAUCCUUGAAAUGUACCCAUGACAACCAGCAGAGAAUAUUAUGUGUCAUAUUGAGAGAUGGAUUGUGGUGUGGUAGGGUUUUCAAAAUGGUGUAUGUGUUUCAGAUAGGAUCAUUAUUAAGUUACUGUGUGUUCAUUCUUUCCAGGAACUUUACAGUAAUGUCAAUACAGACUUUUUGUGUGAAAUAAAUAUUUCUACGUUA